AGCGGAGGAAAAGAAACUAACAAGGAUUCCCCUAGUAACUGCGAGUGAAGCGGGAAAAGCUCAAAUUUAAAAUCUGGCGUGCCUUUGGCCGUCCGAGUUGUAGUCUGGAGAAGUGUUUUCUGUGCCGGACCGUGUACAAGUCCCUUGGAACAGGGCUUCAUAGAGGGUGAGAAUCCCGUCUUUGACAUGGACUACCGGUGCUCUGUGAUGCGCUCUCAACGAGUCGAGUUGUUUGGGAAUGCAGCUCAAAAUGGGUGGUAAAUUCCAUCUAAAGCUAAAUAUAGGCGAGAGACCGAUAGCGAACAAGUACCGUGAGGGAAAGAUGAAAAGCACUUUGGAAAGAGAGUUAAACAGUACGUGAAAUUGCUGAAAGGGAAACGCUUGAAGUCAGUCAUGUCUGCCAGGACUCAGCCUUGCUUGUUUUGCUUGGUGCACUUUCUGGUUUGACGGGCCAGUGUCGAUUUUGACCGUUGGAGAAAGGUGGAGGAAAUGUGGCACCUUUCAAGGUGUGUUAUAGUCCUCUGCUGUAUGUGACGGUUGGGAUUGAGGACCGCAGCAUGCCUUUAUGGCCGGGGGGUUACACCCCACGUUACAUGCUUAGGAUGCUGGCUUAAUGGCUUUAAGCGACCCGUCUUGAAACACGGACCAAGGAGUCUAACUUGCCUGCAAGUGUUUGGGUGGAAAACCCAAGCGCGCAAUGAAAGUGAUAGUUGAGACCUCUGUCAUGGAGGGCAUCGACGCCCGGACCUAAUCUACGGAGAUGGUUCUGCGGUAGAGCAUGCAUGUUGGGACCCGAAAGAUGGUGAACUAUGCCUGAAUAGGGUGAAGCCAGAGGAAACUCUGGUGGAGGCUCGUAGCGAUUCUGACGUGCAAAUCGAUCGUCAAAUUUGGGUAUAGGGGCGA
Molecule: ribosomal RNA, 903 nt
Filed under: Boletopsis mediterraneensis
Lineage: Eukaryota; Fungi; Basidiomycota; Agaricomycetes; Thelephorales; Thelephoraceae
Description: partial large subunit ribosomal RNA
Rfam family: Eukaryotic large subunit ribosomal RNA
Source: RNAcentral